GAUGAACGCUGGCGGCGUGCCUAAUACAUGCAAGUCGAGCGAACAGACGAGGAGCUUGCUCCUCUGACGUUAGCGGCGGACGGGUGAGUAACACGUGGAUACCCUACCUAUAAGACUGGGAUAACUUCGGGAAACCGGAGCUAAUACCGGAUAAUAUCUUGAACCGCAUGGUUCAAUAGUGAAAUACGGUUUUGCUGUCACUUAUAGAUGGAUCCGCGCCGCAUUAGCUAGUUGGUAAGGUAACGGCUUACCAAGGCAACGAUGCGUAGCCGACCUGAGAGGGUGGUCGGCCACACUAGAAGGGGGACGCGGUCAAGACGCCUACGGGAGGCAGCAGUAGGGAAUCUUCCGCAAUGGGCGAAAGCCUGACGGAGCAACGCCGCGUGAGUGAUGAAGGUCUUCGGAUCGUGAAGCUCUGUUAUUAGGGAAGAACAAAUGUGUAAGUAACUGUGCACGUAUUGACGGUACCGAAUCAGGAAGCCACGGCUAACUACGUG
RNAcentral lists this ribosomal RNA (497 nucleotides) under uncultured bacterium. RNAcentral's name for it is "partial 16S ribosomal RNA". It matches the Rfam family "Bacterial small subunit ribosomal RNA", at positions 28 to 507 of the family's 1533-position model. The record is from RNAcentral.